GAUGAACGCUGGCGGCGUGCCUAAUACAUGCAAGUCGAGCGAACAGACGAGGAGCUUGCUCCUCUGACGUUAGCGGCGGACGGGUGAGUAACACGUGGAUAACCUACCUAUAAGACUGGGAUAACUUCGGGAAACCGGAGCUAAUACCGGAUAAUAUAUUGAACCGCAUGGUUCAAUAGUGAAAGACGGUUUUGCUGUCACUUAUAGAUGGAUCUGCGCGGAUUAGCUAGUUGGUAAGGUAACGGCUUACCAAGGCAACGAUGCGUAGCCGACCUGAGAGGGUGAUCGGCCACACUGGAACUGAGACAGGGUCCAGACUCCUACGGGAGGCAGCAGUAGGGAAUCUUCCGCAAUGGGCGAAAGCUUGACGGAGCAACGCCGCGUGAGUGAUGAAGGUCUUCGGAUCGUAAAACUCUGUUAUUAGGGAAGAACAAAUGUGUAAGUAACUAUGCACGUCUUGACGGUACCUAAUCAGAAAGCCACGGCUAACUACGUG
This 496-nucleotide ribosomal RNA is filed under the name uncultured bacterium. RNAcentral's name for it is "partial 16S ribosomal RNA". It matches the Rfam family "Bacterial small subunit ribosomal RNA", at positions 28 to 507 of the family's 1533-position model. The record is from RNAcentral.